Molecule: ribosomal RNA, 336 nt
Filed under: Triticum aestivum (bread wheat)
Lineage: Eukaryota; Viridiplantae; Streptophyta; Magnoliopsida; Poales; Poaceae
Description: partial small subunit ribosomal RNA
Source: RNAcentral
AUGUCCCUGCUUGCGAAGAGCAGCUGGUUUACUCUCAACUUGACGCAGAAGUAUGGAUGCUGGGAACCACGUCACCUCCUGGAUGAAGGAGAUCAUUUCACGGUUCAUUUAAGAAAAUUGGCAAAGUGCAGAGAUCCUUCAUAUAACUUCAAGAAAAUAAGACAAGACAAGAUUGUGUGCAGAGACUGGAGAGCCAGAAUAAUAAAGAGUAGAGAAGUUGUUCACGUCAGAAGAACAAUGAGGAGGGAACUUGUUCAUGUUUGCUUUUCUGUUUACCAGUAUACCGAUGAACUGUUCGUAAUGAAAAUACAAGCACAGACUAAGACAGCUCAUUGA